AAAUCUAUACUCUUCUGAGGUGCCUGUCUAUGCAGGUAAUAAUCGGAAUACGGUGCAAAUCCGUAGCGGUCAAGCCACUGUGAUGCCGCAAGGCUAAGUCAGGUUGAUUUCCUCAGUUGAUAUAUUCCU
RNAcentral lists this non-coding RNA (129 nucleotides) under Phascolarctobacterium succinatutens YIT 12067. RNAcentral also lists the same sequence under 1 other name. Lineage: Bacteria; Bacillati; Bacillota; Negativicutes; Acidaminococcales; Acidaminococcaceae. The record is from RNAcentral.